CAGAUGGUAGUUUAAUAAAAAUACAGAUUUUGGGUAUCUAUGUUUGACUCAUUGUCACCAACUGG
RNAcentral lists this transfer RNA (65 nucleotides) under Thelepus plagiostoma. RNAcentral describes it as "tRNA-Pro". Lineage: Eukaryota; Metazoa; Annelida; Polychaeta; Terebellida; Terebellidae. The record is from RNAcentral.